CUACUGGGGUAUCUAAUCCUGUUUGCUACCCACGCUUUCGGGUCUGAGCGUCAGUAACAGGCCAGAGAGCCGCCUUCGCCGCUGAUGUUCCUCCUAAUAUCUACGUAUUUCACCACUACACUAGGAAUUCCACUCUCCUCUCCUGCACUCAAGAAAUUUGGUUUCAAAAGCACUUCCUGGGUUAAGCCCAGGACUUUCACUUCUGACCUAAAUUUCCGCCUACACCCGCUUUACGCCCAAUGAUUCCGAACAACGCUAGGACCCCUCGUAUUACCGCGGCUGCUGGCAC
Molecule: ribosomal RNA, 289 nt
Filed under: uncultured bacterium
Lineage: Bacteria
Description: partial 16S ribosomal RNA
Source: RNAcentral